AAGUAUGACGAGCGGCGGACGGGUGAGUAAUGCUUGGGAAUAUGCCUUAGGGUGGGGGACAACAGUUGGAAACGACUGCUAAUACCGCAUAACGUCUACGGACCAAAGGGGGCUUCGGCUCUCGCCCUUAGAUUAGCCCAAGUGGGAUUAGCUAGUUGGUGAGGUAAUGGCUCACCAAGGCGACGAUCCCUAGCUGGUUUGAGAGGAUGAUCAGCCACACUGGAACUGAGACACGGUCCAGACUCCUACGGGAGGCAGCAGUGGGGAAUAUUGCACAAUGGGCGCAAGCCUGAUGCAGCCAUGCCGCGUGUGUGAAGAAGGCCUUAGGGUUGUAAAGCACUUUCAGUAAGGAGGAAAGGUUAGUAGUUAAUACCUGCUAGCUGUGACGUUACUUACAGAAGAAGCACCGGCUAACUCCGUGCCAGCAGCCGCGGUAAUACGGAGGGUGCGAGCGUUAAUCGGAAUUACUGGGCGUAAAGCGUACGCAGGCGGUUUGUUAAGCGAGAUGUGAAAGCCCCCGGGCUCAACCUGGGAACUGCAUUUCGAACUGGCAAACUAGAGUAUGAUAGAGGGUGGUAGAAAUUUCAGGUGUUAGCGGUGAAAUGCGUAGAGAUCUGAAGGAAUACCGAUGGGCAAAGGCAGCCCCCUGGGUCAAA
This 656-nucleotide ribosomal RNA is filed under the name Pseudoalteromonadaceae bacterium por-1-10-21. RNAcentral's name for it is "bacterial SSU rRNA". It matches the Rfam family "Bacterial small subunit ribosomal RNA", at positions 84 to 738 of the family's 1533-position model. The record is from RNAcentral. Lineage: Bacteria; Pseudomonadati; Pseudomonadota; Gammaproteobacteria; Alteromonadales; Pseudoalteromonadaceae.